AAAGAUAUCAUAGCCACAACUUAAGUUUUUUCCAAAUCAUCAAAAUCCAGCUAAAUUCUUAUAUUGUUGGGAACUUGAAAUGAAGAUAAGCAGAGCAAUUACUGACAGCGGCAUAUUUCUCAACAAGAGGACGGAAGGCUGGGUCUGAGAGAAGAGCUUUAUCACUUGGCAGCUGUAGAAGACCUUCCUUUUCUCCGCUAAGGAGUUCCCUGUUGACAAGUCAAAUAAUAACAAAAUAAGCAAACAUUCUUAAGAUGCAUAGAAGAGUCUUAUAACCAGGCAAAAGCUAGAACUAUUAAAGAAUGUAUAGGGAGAAGAACACAAAACUCACUUGAAGUAGCUGUUAUCAAAGAUCAGAGGGUUGGAGGUCCAGGGUCCUUCAAAUCCAGAGCGCUCCUUGUGGCACCUUCCCUGCAAACAUAAAACCAACCAGCAUCUUUCAAUUUCAGAUCACAAUUAUGGUAAGAUGUUAAAACUGACUGAAUACAAUUCUUGCCAGCACUCAUUAAGUGUGAAUAACUGUAAAACUGAACACAGACCAGGGUGUGGGCCCCAGAGAGAGCUACGAUGUCCUUGUCGCUGAGACCCAUUUGAGUAACAAACACCUGUCUCAAGUGAUCGCAUCCUGCACAUCAGUUGAUUCACCCACAUAAACUUCUUAACUCAAUACAUCUUCUCCCAGUAAGUUUUGAUUUUUUUCUUUUCAACAUACAACAUGAUGCAAAUAAGGUUUUAAACAUACUAACCUUUGGUGGCAUCUGGCAGACGACCCUCAGGUGGUGGCUCCGGCUUGUCCUGAGAUAAGAGGAGGACCAUUGUCAGCAUAAAAUAACAAGAUAAAUACAUUAUGAUAAAUGAAGAGAAUACAAAAUUGUAACAUCUAUCAAGAAUCAGAAUAUAAAUAGAGAAUAGAUGUAGGACAAUAUUUUAACUAAACUUGGAGGUCCACCAUCAUGUAGAUCUGUUCUAAUCUGCCACAAAGGAAUAGUGGCAUCAUGAGAAGAAAAGGAUAAAAUUGAAAAAAACAAGCAAAUCAUGUAUACCGUUUAAACAAAGAAAAGAAAAGGCCCCAGAAGAAAAAGGGGAAAAGACACAUGAUUUUUUUUUCUCCAAUGGCACUUUUACAAUGAACCAAACAAAAUCAGUAAAAAAAGAACAGAAAAUUUUUAGGGAAAAAUUUUAUACAAAUAAAUAAAAAUGGACACUGGCUUUGGAACACAUUUUAAACUCCUUUUGAUCAAUUGCUGUGGUUUUUGCCAUUCUCCAUGCAAAAACCCCAAUCCACUAGAAUAGAAAUAUAAUUACAUUCGUUUCAUUUUUUUUUUUUUGUCAGACAAAUGCUGUCUGAAAACGACUUUAGAAGUACUGUUCUUUUUUGUAGAGAAAUUAAUUAAGAUUUUUCCCCUUUCAAAGGACAAUGACUUUACAUAAAGCAGAAAAGGAAAUACCCAAAUACCCAAAAUCUUGAUAAUUUGGCAUCAAAAACCACAUUUCCCCCAUAAAAGGAAAGACAGACCAAUAAAACAAAAUAAAGACAUGUCAGAUACAUGCAUUGAAGUUUACAUGGCAUCUACACCUCUUAAAGUAAUAGAUCAAACAAAACAUGCUUAUAGAAACAUUGUGAUUCGGGCCACAGUCCCAAAACUGAGUGAAUAGGCCAUGCUGUAUUUAAAAAUAUAGGUUCUACCAAGUAUUCAGACCAAUCCAUUGGUUAUCUGCCAGAGGCAUAUGGACAAAUUAGUGCAUCAUAUAAGCUUUAAAGCAGGCGAAGUUAGAAUCCAGACAAAUUAGACAACCAUAUUGCAAGCUCUAGGUUACCAAGCUUUAAUAUCAACUAAUAAGUUUGCAAUGUAGCAUUAAGAAACAAUGCAAACACCGCUACCACCAAAGCAUUAUGUGGUGACUAUGAUAUCUGCUCCACAUCAAAUUUUCACUACAACCUAUUAAAAUACAUGAACCUAGUAAGCAAAAGGUAGGAUGCCCAGCUCCAACCCACCAAAUUUCAGUUUUUGAUUCAACCCAUACAAAACUUAUCUAGAUCAAAACAAUCACAAAAUUGAACUGUUAUACAGAACUACUUCCUUGUCCUAAUUUUAAAUAUGGAAUAUAACAGAGAUAGUCUGGUAAGGAAAACAUAAAUAAAAAGGAGGACAAGACAAUCCUAAGCAACAUAUUACAGCAACAGAUCAACUAAAUAGUUAGAACUUAAAAGUUUUUUCUUUAAAAAGAAUAUGCAAUUUUAACUGAAAUGAAAGAAUGGUGAUAAUUCACCUACCUCUCUCCCUGGGUGGAAAGGAAUUUCAGGCCCUCCAGUGACCUCAACAGCAACAACUCCAGCCAACUAAGUAACAUAGAAAAUGAAAAAGAAAAGUCAAUGUCUGAAAGCAUAAAAGAAAAAUUAUUGAAUAGAGUGGGAUAGGUGUGAUAAUGGCCCAAAAGGGAUAGCAAUUUUGAUAAUUCUGGUUAAGGACAAGACAAAGGGGGGAAAAUUUCCACAAAGGCCAUUUAGCAAAAUAAUAAACCAAAAUUUCAUAACUAUCCUUUAGUUAAAGUGGACAAAAUUUCAUAAAUCAAAAUAAUAAACCAAAACAAUUCUAAAAAAAUAUUUUCAAAACAACAUCUAAUAUGUUUUCUAAAACAUUUCCAUUUCUACUUUUAUCUAAAUUUAUAAAUAAAUAAAAAAGUUUCCCUAAUAAUGCAAUAAGAAUGAUUAUUUUUCAUAAUUUUUCUCUAAUUUCAAAUUUAUAAAUCAUGCUUUUUUAUUAUUAAGAUUGUGAAGAAAAAAUGUCUAAUUUUUUAUUUGGGUUGUUUAAAAGAAUUAGAAACACUAAUUCAUCAUUUUUUGUUUUUUACAAUUGAAUAAUUUUAAAAAAUUAUAUAAUGUUCAUAAUUUUUAGUUUUUUUCGUUUGCAUUGCAUGUUUAUCUUCUUUUUUUUUUUCUUUCAUAGCAUACAAUGAUGGAUGUUAAUACAUUGUAAUUUUAUAUUGGAUGUCGAUGAGGUAUAACUCCAAUACUAUUAUUUCUAUUAUAAAAAUAUAUUAUAAUUACAAUAUAAAUAUACUAAAAUUAUAAUACAUUACAACAAAACCUAAUUUAGAAAAUUUUAAACUUUUAUGUUCGCUAACAUAUUUAUAUUAUGAACCAUCUUUUAAAUCAAAUAAAGUAUUAAUUUGAAUUCAUGAAGCAUUUUUUUAAUUAUAAAAAUAAUUAAACAAUUUCAAUGCAUAAAAGUAAUGAUGUCAAUAGGGUAUAAAAAGGUAUUUCUAAAAUUAUUAAUUUUGUCAUAAAAAAAAAGGUGGGACAUAAAUUCAUUACACUUACAUUACAAAUGCACUACUAUAUUACAAUACAUUACAAUACAACCUAAUUAUUAAAAUCUUUAAUUUUUUUCACGUGCCAUACCAUUAGCCGAAUAUUUGUGUGUUAUAUUGAAUUGAGAUGCUCAUGAAAAAUAAAGCACACAUAAAAAUUAACUGUUUAUUCAAUUAGGGCAACAAAGCUUUUACGUAGCUAUAAGCAAUUGCUAAAGUUUGUUGUUACAUGCAUAAAGUAGCAUAUUAACCCUUGGGAUUGGUUUUUAUUUAAUAAAAAUCUCAAUUCUUUUUUUAAAUGAGAAAAGUAUAUUUCAAAUAAUCUAAUUUCUAAUAAUGAAAUUAAAAAAAUUAUAUAAAUUUGUAUUAGUUAUCCUUUGACUUUCCUAUUCUUUUCAACCCACAUAAGCUUAAGCAUGGUGAAUUGUAGGGUAAAGUUUAACUCUAAGGAAGAAAGGAGUAAUGGGAAAAAAAUUGACAAAAGGUAAAGUUAAUGUCUCAGAAGUUAGUUCCUCGAGGGAAUUUGAUAAAUAAGUGGCUGCCAUUAUCCCAUCUGACCGACCUAUUUGGUUGAAUCCUAAACAUUAAUAUGCAAAACAAAUUCUCACGUCCACUGACGUUUGAAGUGAACAAGCAAACCAAGAGGCCAUCAGAUUUACAGCAGCUUUUAAGAGCCAAGCAAAAAAUUAGCGUCCGUUUACAAAUAUAUCCAUAUAUAUAUAUAUUUUCUCUUUCAUUUUCCUAAACGUGUUUCUUGCAAACGAAAAGGAUCAAAACGAAAAUUAACAAAGGGAAAAGAGGAAGCUAGGAAAAAAAUUGCAAGUAUUUAUAAUACCUGAUAGAAGUCAGCGUACGAAAUGAUAGGGAAUUGUUCCUUGAUAGGUUCCAAGAGCCUAACGGCUAUAUCAAGACCGUUGUUGGCUCCGUGAGCUAGCUCUUCUGGCUUCUUCAUCGUUCCGAAAGGACCUCCGGUUCUCGUCUUCACAUCGAAGGUACCGGCAGAGUGCCAUCUGAAACCACAUGAUUACACGGUCAACAUCCUGGUAAAAUAAAUAGAUAAACGAACAAAUAACUGGGAAAAACAACUAUUGAGAUCUUAGAGAGAAAGGACGUACGCGAUUCGGAGCAUAAUCGGAGCACAGUUCUUCUCAGCGAUGAGGCCUCUGAGCUUCUUCUUGGCUUUUUCUACAGCCUUUUUGUAUUCCUCGCUCACAGUAGGAUAGCUCUUCCCCAUGGCUAUGA
This 4554-nucleotide long non-coding RNA is filed under the name Vitis vinifera (wine grape). Its description in RNAcentral is "long non-coding RNA (VVIN_LNC001711)". Lineage: Eukaryota; Viridiplantae; Streptophyta; Magnoliopsida; Vitales; Vitaceae. The record is from RNAcentral.